This is a long non-coding RNA of Actinia tenebrosa (Australian red waratah sea anemone), 612 nucleotides long. RefSeq lists it as uncharacterized. The record is from RefSeq and is a predicted model, not a curated record. NCBI's taxonomy places the organism in Eukaryota, Metazoa, Cnidaria, Anthozoa, Actiniaria, Actiniidae.
UCUUUCGCCGCAUGAAAAAGGCUUGAAUACUGUUAGGAUUAUCAAUAAAAUACACCAUAUACAACCGACUCAACCAUUACAAGGUAGUCGUACCCCAACUGUGUGUCUCGCAUACGAAAAUCCUCAAUCGUGGAUCGAAAAUCAUGGUUGGAGAACUUUUUCCACAAAAGUGUACUCGCUUCAGUGUUUGACAUGUGUGCGUAACUGAAAAAAAAAAAAAAGGCUUGUGGAAGAGCUGCUGACGCUGUUGCUAACUUAGAAAUCCCACCAUGAGGAAAAAGUACGAAGAUUCGCGGAAAAGGAAAGCGUUUUACGCGGCUACCUCACUCUACUUCAGUAUCCAAACUCAAGAAGAGAACUAUAGAAAAGCAAAAACAGAAGAAAUCCCAAGAUCUUUCUUAUCAUCAAAUUCACACUAGAUACCUCUUGUUGUCUGGAUCGUUUUAACAUCGACAAAGGAUCCUCGCUAGUUGCCUAAGUCUAAGAAAGCUUACAAAUAUAAACAUUACCGUAGCUUUUUAUGUAAUCUCAGUGCUUUCAAUUGUACAUGGUCUGUUAGAGUUGUAGUUACAGCAUGUUGUCUAUUAUUGUGGAAUAAGCGGUCACACUUGA